Non-coding RNA from Benincasa hispida (wax gourd), 4180 nucleotides. Lineage: Eukaryota; Viridiplantae; Streptophyta; Magnoliopsida; Cucurbitales; Cucurbitaceae. The record is from RefSeq and is a predicted model, not a curated record.
CCGAGAUAUUUUCUUCUCUCUCCUCGUCGCCACCAGCUUUUUGAUUCCUCUCUCUCAAUCCGCGGGAAAAAAGGAAAGCUGAAAGUCACAUGGAAAAAAUCCAUUGCGUCUCUCUCUGUUUUUCUUCUUCUAACUAUGAUCUCGUCGGAAUUCUUCGUCGUGUUUCUAGGUUUUGAGUUGUUGCUUCUUGUUUGGAAUCAUCCAUGGCGAUUUCCUGAUUCGGACGUCUCGAUAUAUCAUUUACUUUAUUGAUCAUGUGGGACUGUAGCACCAGGGACAUUGCAUCCAUGCUAUUUUCUACAUAUCAGUUGGUUUCUAGAGAACUAAUUGAGAAAUCGAUGUCUGCAAUACUUACUCAUUAUCUAUGGAAACUUUGACGUUGUGAUAGGUGAAAGCUUGGGCUGUUGAUGGUUGGCCACGACGAAAAUGGGUGUGAAAUGAAAGCAAAGUGUAAUGGAAGGAAAAGAGCCAGCAAUGGCUUGCUAGUUUCAAAACUUCACCAAGUCACACGUCAAGUUUAGGCAGGGUACCUCUCUUCAAAAGGUAAGGGGUUGGGUAGGUUUAUUAAAAAGAGCUCAAAGUUUAUAUUGAACCAGUUAAUAAAAGCUUGUAUUGUUUUUGCGUGUGAAAAAGGCUUAAAUUUAUUGCAAUCUAUAUCUAAUGUGUGUGAUACUAUGUUAUCUCUGAAAUGUAAUAGUUAUAUUCUUGAUUUAUGUCUCAUAUUUGCUCUUAAACUAGGUUUAUGUCUAGCACAAUUCUAGUUUACGUAUAUGGCUAAAUAAUUUGUAAGUGGGUCUUUCUUUUGAUAUUGAAUUCAUGGUGCUUAUGCAUGUUAUCAAUCAGGUAUUCUGGUGUUAGAGCUUUACAUGCUUACAAAGUUGCCAUCUGGACAUUUUGUGAAGCAAGGAGCAAUGCAAAUUUAUUCACUCUUGUAUUUACUUUGGUAGUUUUUAUUUUCUGUUUCCUUUCACGUUUUUCUAAUUUACUUGUAGGUUAUAAUUACUUAUCGCUCAUGUUAGUACUGGUGAUUCCUCUUGUAUGUAUACCUUGAUCUUGUGCUAUGGAGCAUGUCUGGAUUUAUAGUCUGGACCUUUACAUGCUUACAAAGUUACAAUCUGGAUCUUUUUGUGAAGCAAGGAACAAUGCAAAUUUAUUCAGUCUGGUAUUCAUUUACUUUGGUGGUUUUUAUUUCUGUUUUCCUUUCACGUUUUUCUUAUUUACUUGUAGGUUAUAAUUACUUAUCGCUCAUGUUAGUACCAGCGAAUUCCUCUUGUGUGUAUACCUUGACAUUGUGCUAUGGAGGAUGUCUGGAUUUAUAAUUUCUACUAUAUUGUGUAUCGUACACAUUUUGUUCUCUAUAUUUAAUCUUUCAGAUGCCGAAGUUUUCAUUUCUGUGCUGUAUAUUCAUGUCAAACCAGUUUACAGCCUUACAAUCAGGAAGCUGUAGAUGGACGGGAGCAGGCAUACUGUAUCUAUUGGUGAUAGUGAAUUGAUGAACUGAGCUACUGCUCGUUUUAUCCACUUCCAUUGGUCCAUAGGCCUGGUACACAAAAAACGCAGUCAUGAUUGAGGAGGGGACUUGAAUCCCCCAUUUUGGGAUAAAAUAAAAGUUAUGUGGUAAUCUUGUUUCUUUUCAAUGUUGUGGGGGAUUUUACUAGAGAGAAAUAGCAGAAUACGGAAGUCGAGAGAUCCUAGGAGGACAAUUUAGUUAGGGAUUGGACCUUUUUUUUUUAUUAUUAUUAUUUUUUAAUGUGGGUGGACUUGUUUCCUUUGUAUGCCAUUGUAUACUCUUUAAUUUUUUUUUAAAUGAAAGUUUGGUUUUUUACCCAAAAAUAAAUAAAGUAAAAAAUGAAGCAUUUCAACAUAAGUUUUGGAUCUCUACCUUCAUUUGCAGUUCUGCAUUUUCCUUACGAAUCAUAUCUAAUUUCUUGUAGAGUUCCACAUUUUCUUGAUGCAUAUGAUUCCCCUGCAACAUAAUUAUUGCAAAUUAGCUGUUGUUUCAGCACUUCUUCAUAUAAUGAGAUACAUGAAUAUUUACAGUGGGGAAAACCUUCUGUCUUAGUUCAGUAAUUUCAUCACUUAAAAUCUUUUCCUGCAAGAAAAAUACAAGAACACAUAAACAUCCGCAUACAAUAUGCUUUAUCAGGUGUAUGUUUUUAUUGAGGUCUCUUCAUAGUUUAUACCUUCUUCACACGGACACCUUUCAAACUCAUUUCCAACUGGCUUUCCAGAUUUUGUAGAUCUUUGACACUCAGGCCAGAUAGUUCCUCACCCAUCAGGUGUCUGCAAAUAUAGGAGUGUGGAUAUAUUAUGAACUCCUUUUCAUAUUUACGUAAACUAUUGAAUUAUAUUAUUAUUCCUCAUCGAUUCAGACUUGAAUUAUUUCAUUUUAUCUCUCGGUCAUUAGCAUGCCUUAAUUAUGAUAUAGAGCAUGGAUGGUAACGUAAGGUGUCAAUAAAAUGUUAAGUUUUCCACAUUUUAUCAUGAUUAUCUAAUUAUCAGUCUAAUUUUAAAGAACCAAGGAAUGUGUGAUUUUCUACAACUCAUGCUUAAAAUAUAUUUUGAAGUUACCACUUACCAUAUAAAGUUAUUCUAGCCCUGACGAUUGGAAGAGGAUUUAGAACCUUCUAAUAUUGGUAGGCCAGUGUUUGCUGUUGGACGUUUGCUCAUGAAGGCAAUCAGAAUGAAGGAUGGGAUAGUAGAGUUUGACUAAAAUUAAAAUUAUCAAAUGGUUUUCUGUUGAGAAAAUUCAUGAGGUCGAGCAUUGAGGAAGAACUAAUCAACCUUUUCAUGAACAAUAUUAGAAGUUUUUUGAUCUUGGUCAGGUCCCACUUUUGAGAAAAUAGUAAAAGUUUUUUAAUCUUGUUUGAUUCACUGUGGACUAUCUGAUACUAUUUGAUUUGGAAUCAACUUCUAUCUCUCUUUCAUACCAAAAAUUUUAGGAAAAAUAUCAAUUACUACCCUUAAACUUUAUGGGUUGUAUCAAUUUAAACUUUGAAGUAAUAAUUUUUUCCGGAUGGUGGCUCAAAGAUAAGGCUAGAGUCUUGUGGAGUAAUGCUUGUAGAGCUUCCCUCUAGGCUCUUUGGAAGGAAAGGAAUAUAAGAUUGUUCUUAGAUAAGACCUUUACUUCCAAUAUCUUUUUGUGAAAAUGUCCUACUGCCUCCUCUUGGAGUGCUCUAUAUAGUUCUUUUUGAACACACAGCGUGCUCUCAUUCUUUUAGAUUGGAGGCCCUCACUCUUUUGAUCCUCCAGUUUUUGGUUUAGGGACCCCAGGCCUUUUGUCUGUGGUUCUCUCUCUCUUCUGUUUAACGUAAAGUUUCUCCAUUUCUAAAGAAAAGGGAAAUCCAAGAACAUUCUGAAUUUGCCAAUUCCAGUUGAAAUACAAGCUCCAAGCUAUGGACUGCCCAGGAAGUCUGAGAUUCCGGAGCUCCCUCUCCACUCUCUUUCCCUGUGUUGAUCCCAACAGAAAAGUGACAACUGACAAAAGACACUCCUACACCUGUCAGCUUAUUUCUUCCAACACUAAAUUGUAAUUGAUUAUUUUCAUUUUCAAUCAAGUAUUGAUUCAUCAUCACCCUGCUCUGAACCAUUGUUCUACCAUUCAUUCUGCUCAUGAGUUAAAUGGUCUAUCUCAUGUUUGUGCGUGCACACAUACAGUCCAUAUAAUGUGAAUGUCACAGUCUACAUGUUUUGAUCAUUUGAUCUUCACUCAGCUUUUUCGUGUGUGGUGGCGAUUCAAACACACAAUGAUAUCCAACGAAGUUAUCGAUCUUGUUUGUCUUGUUUCAAGUUUCCUACAUGCUAUAUAUGUAUAUGUAUAUAAUCAGAAACCAUUCUUUCAUACAGGAAAAAUGAAAGAGUACUGGGGUAGUGAUACACCAAAACUCAACCUUCAGAAGGAGCCAAACAAAUAUAACAUGGGACUUCAAUCAAGCAAAAUAAGAGUUAGAAGAUUAUUACAAACAACAUAUACUCAUUGAGGCUCGUAGAGAGGUAUGAACCUAACAAGUGACCAAACUUCUUCCAAGCUCUUCAAUUGGUCUAAAAAUUGUAUCAUGACACUUACAUUCUGAAUAUAAAAUAAUUCUCAUGUACUUAAGUUGUGUUCUAUUUCUAGUUGGAAUGUACUUCAGUUGUUCUUAUGCCUAAUUGAAAUGGCACAUGCAAUUAUUGAUGUGUA